RNAcentral lists this transfer RNA (77 nucleotides) under Bacteroidales bacterium. Its description in RNAcentral is "tRNA-His". It matches the Rfam family "tRNA". From Rfam's summary of the family: Transfer RNA (tRNA) molecules are approximately 80 nucleotides in length. Their secondary structure includes four short double-helical elements and three loops (D, anti-codon, and T loops). The record is from RNAcentral. Lineage: Bacteria; Pseudomonadati; Bacteroidota; Bacteroidia; Bacteroidales.
GUGCCUGUAGUUCAGUUGGUUAGAGCGUCAGAUUGUGGUUCUGAAUGUCGUGGGUUCGAGUCCCACCAGGCACCCCA